GAUGAACGCUGGCUACAGGCUUAACACAUGCAAGUCGAGGGGAAACGACGGGGAAGCUUGCUUCCCCGGGCGUCGACCGGCGCACGGGUGAGUAACGCGUAUCCAACCUGCCUCUGACUGAGGGAUAACCCGUCGAAAGUCGGCCUAAUACCUCAUGGUAUCGUCUGCGGGCAUCCAACGACGAUUAAAGAUUUCAUCGGUCAGGGAUGGGGAUGCGUCUGAUUAGCUUGUUGGCGGGGUAACGGCCCACCAAGGCUACGAUCAGUAGGGGUUCUGAGAGGAAGGUCCCCCACAUUGGAACUGAGACACGGUCCAAACUCCUACGGGAGGCAGCAGUGAGGAAUAUUGGUCAAUGGGCGAGAGCCUGAACCAGCCAAGUAGCGUGCAGGAAGACGGCCCUAUGGGUUGUAAACUGCUUUUAUGCGGGGAUAAAGUGAGGGACGUGUCCCUCAUUGCAGGUACCGAAUGAAUAAGGACCGGCUAAUUCCGUG
This 491-nucleotide ribosomal RNA is filed under the name uncultured bacterium. RNAcentral describes it as "partial 16S ribosomal RNA". It matches the Rfam family "Bacterial small subunit ribosomal RNA", at positions 28 to 507 of the family's 1533-position model. The record is from RNAcentral.